Molecule: unclassified non-coding RNA, 395 nt
Filed under: soil metagenome
Description: partial contains 5.8S ribosomal RNA, internal transcribed spacer 2, and large subunit ribosomal RNA
Rfam family: 5.8S ribosomal RNA (bases 1-122)
Source: RNAcentral
GAUGAAGAACGUAGCGAAAUGCGAUACUUGGUGUGAUUUGCAGAAUCCCGUGAACCAUCGAGUCUUUGAACGCAAGUUGCGCCCGAAGCCAUCAGGUUGAGGGCACGUCUGCCUGGGCGUCACAUAUCGUUGCCCAAUGCCUAUUGCAGUGCAAUAGGAAUUUCUAAGGCGAAUGAUGGCUUCCCGUGAGCGUUGUUGCCUCGCGGUUGGUUGAAAAUCGAGUCCUUGGUAGGGUGUGCCAUGGUAGAUGGUGGUCGAGUUAGAACGAUACCGAUCAUGUGCAUGCUCCCCAAAAUAUGGCCUCUAUGACCCACACGCGUCUUUUGACGCUCAUGACGAGACCUCAGGUCAGGCGGGGCUACCCGCUGAAUUUAAGCAUAUCAAUAAGCGGAGGA